This 46-nucleotide non-coding RNA is filed under the name Trichobilharzia regenti. The record is from RNAcentral. Lineage: Eukaryota; Metazoa; Platyhelminthes; Trematoda; Strigeidida; Schistosomatidae.
UUACUGAUGAAGAGUCCCAAACUAGGAUGAAACAGCUGUCCAGUAC